RNAcentral lists this ribosomal RNA (424 nucleotides) under uncultured prokaryote. Its description in RNAcentral is "bacterial SSU rRNA". It matches the Rfam family "Bacterial small subunit ribosomal RNA", at positions 355 to 796 of the family's 1533-position model. The record is from RNAcentral.
UAGGGAAUAUUGGACAAUGGGCGAAAGCCUGAUCCAGCCAUGCCGCGUGGAUGAAGAAGGCCCUAGGGUUGUAAAGUCCUUUCGGCGGUGAAGAUAAUGACGGUAACCGCAGAAGAAGCCCCGGCUAAUUUCGUGCCAGCAGCCGCGGUAAUACGAAAGGGGCUAGCGUUGUUCGGAAUUACUGGGCGUAAAGCGCGCGUAGGCGGCCAUGCAAGUUGGGGGUGAAAUCCCGGGGCUCAACUCCGGAACUGCCUCCAAAACUGCAUAGCUAGAGGAUGCGAGAGGAUAGUGGAAUUCCGAGUGUAGAGGUGAAAUUCGUAGAUAUUCGGAAGAACACCAGUGGCGAAGGCGACUGUCUGGCGCAUUUCUGACGCUGAGGCGCGAAAGCGUGGGGAGCAAACAGGAUUAGAUACCCCCGUAGUCC